RNAcentral lists this ribosomal RNA (463 nucleotides) under Escherichia coli. RNAcentral's name for it is "bacterial SSU rRNA". It matches the Rfam family "Bacterial small subunit ribosomal RNA", at positions 1 to 460 of the family's 1533-position model. The record is from RNAcentral. Lineage: Bacteria; Pseudomonadati; Pseudomonadota; Gammaproteobacteria; Enterobacterales; Enterobacteriaceae.
AAAUUGAAGAGUUUGAUCAUGGCUCAGAUUGAACGCUGGCGGCAGGCCUAACACAUGCAAGUCGAACGGUAACAGAAAGAAGCUUGCUUCUUUGCUGACGAGUGGCGGACGGGUGAGUAAUGUCUGGGAAACUGCCUGAUGGAGGGGGAUAACUACUGGAAACGGUAGCUAAUACCGCAUAACGUCGCAAGACCAAAGAGGGGGACCUUCGGGCCUCUUGCCAUCGGAUGUGCCCAGAUGGGAUUAGCUAGUAGGUGGGGUAACGGCUCACCUAGGCGACGAUCCCUAGCUGGUCUGAGAGGAUGACCAGCCACACUGGAACUGAGACACGGUCCAGACUCCUACGGGAGGCAGCAGUGGGGAAUAUUGCACAAUGGGCGCAAGCCUGAUGCAGCCAUGCCGCGUGUAUGAAGAAGGCCUUCGGGUUGUAAAGUACUUUCAGCGGGGAGGAAGGGAGUAAAGU